UACGGAGGGUGCAAGCGUUAAUCGGAAUUACUGGGCGUAAAGCGCACGCAGGUGGCUGAGUCAGUCGAUUGUGAAAGCCCUGGGCUUAACCUGGGAAUUGCAGUCGAUACUACUCAGCUAGAGUGCGGUAGAGGAGAGUGGAAUUCCCGGUGUAGCAGUGAAAUGCGUAGAGAUCGGGAGGAACAUCAGUUGCGAAGGCGGCUCUCUGGACCAGCACUGACACUGAGGCACGAAAGCGUGGGGAGCAAACGGG
RNAcentral lists this ribosomal RNA (253 nucleotides) under uncultured bacterium. Its description in RNAcentral is "partial 16S ribosomal RNA". It matches the Rfam family "Bacterial small subunit ribosomal RNA", at positions 524 to 776 of the family's 1533-position model. The record is from RNAcentral.